UGUCAUUCUCUUGUGCUUUAAACAAUUUACUGAGAAUAUAUUCUUCUCCUGUUUCUGUCUGUAGUUGCUGUCCAGACAUCUGAGGUGGAUUCAUGGCCCAGUGCAGUUGUCUACAGAAAUCCUGGCGAUCAUCAACAUGAAUGUAAUCGUAUAUGUUUUGGUGCAUUACAUCAGUCUGAUGAAACCCUAGGUAGUCCACAAUUGUUGAUGAUGCAUAAAAUAUCAUUCCAUCUGCACUCACC
RNAcentral lists this long non-coding RNA (242 nucleotides) under Gallus gallus (chicken). The record is from RNAcentral. Lineage: Eukaryota; Metazoa; Chordata; Aves; Galliformes; Phasianidae.